UACGGGGGGGGCAAGCGUUGUUCGGAAUUACUGGGCGUAAAGGGUUCGUAGGUGGCCCGCUAAGUCAGACGUGAAAUCCCUCAGCUCAACUGGGGAACUGCGUCUGAGACUGGCGGGCUUGAGUGCAGGAGAGGAACGCGGAAUUCCAGGUGUAGCGGUGAAAUGCGUAGAUAUCUGGAGGAACACCGGUGGCGAAGGCGGCGUUCUGGACUGUUACUGACACUGAGGAACGAAAGCGUGGGUAGCAAACAGG
Molecule: ribosomal RNA, 253 nt
Filed under: uncultured bacterium
Lineage: Bacteria
Description: partial 16S ribosomal RNA
Rfam family: Bacterial small subunit ribosomal RNA
Source: RNAcentral